Apis laboriosa (Himalayan honeybee) is the source of this 1175-nucleotide long non-coding RNA. RefSeq lists it as uncharacterized. The transcript has 3 exons. NCBI's taxonomy places the organism in Eukaryota, Metazoa, Arthropoda, Insecta, Hymenoptera, Apidae. The record is from RefSeq and is a predicted model, not a curated record.
CGCGACUAGAAGAAAUAAGCUGAGUGACAAUAAGACGUACGAUUUACGAGCAAGUAGCAGUGAAAAAUUCUUUUCUGUAGAAAAACCGACAAUAAAUUCUUUCCGUAAACGCAUUCAUCGAAAACGACCAAGUACCGUAGAAGAUUAACAAUAAAUCGAGACCUCCCAAUAGAGGUUACAAACCAGUAUGCAGGAUUUAUCAAGAAAAGGAAACUUGACAGGCAGAUGUAUUGUGGCAGAAACUUCUUGAUAAUUGGAAGAUAGUUGAGAAAUUCACAAAAGUCAAUAAAAGAUAAGAUUCAAGUUGAUAAUUUCGCACAAUUUUACCACCUUUAAAUCAAAUUGUUAAUGCGCAACACGUUUCAAUCGUUUCCAACAAUAAAGUAGAACUGUCCGAACACUAAAUUGAAGAGGACUAUUUUUGUCGUCCGAUUUCUUCUUACAAAAGAAAGGAAACGAAAGAAAGAAAUUCAAACGAAAUGAAAGACGCGAAGGAAUGUAUAAGCCAAUUAACAACGAGGCGACGCGAAACGUGCACGGAGAUUACACGAAUCUGAUGAAUGGUAAUAUUCCUGGAGCGGUAGUUCCUUCGCAGUGGCCGACGCAUCGUGACAUUGAAACUCCUACACUCGUUGGUGGAGGUAAAGGAAAGUCUCCCCUCUUGCUUCCCGUCGCGUUCCCUCUUUCCCGUUCUUCGUCGACGAGUGACGAUAAUAGGCCGGGAAACGUCGACGAUUGCGGGGUAAGAGGCGAGGGGCGAGGACUUCGAUGAAUCAAAGCGAAGGAGCCAGACAGAGGGUGGGAGGGAAGAAAGAAGAGAACCGCGACAGCGUUGGAUCGAGAUAAGGGGAAAGGAUCGAAUGGAUUGCAGGGUGUAUGGAGGGGAUGAAAGUCAGAGGGGAGGGAUGGAAGAGGGCAAGGUUGCAGACGCCGGCAACCAAGAAGGCAACCACCACGUUUACACCACUACAUACAGUACGACGUGUGUAACUGUUCGUCUUUUUCGUUGGAAAUUCUCUUCCAACUACUCUUCUUUCUCUCUCUAUUUAUCGUACCACUAACAUACAAUCAUAGUACGAUAAAUAGUAUCACAAUUACAAGUUACAAAUAUGAUGAUAUGAUCGUCAUCAUCAUUUUACUUUAAUGAAAAAUGCAAAAACACUUAAGUAAAUGGA